Molecule: long non-coding RNA, 2925 nt
Filed under: Dasypus novemcinctus (nine-banded armadillo)
Lineage: Eukaryota; Metazoa; Chordata; Mammalia; Cingulata; Dasypodidae
Description: lncRNA (ENSDNOG00000052233.1)
Rfam family: tRNA (bases 1649-1721)
Source: RNAcentral
CUCCCCCAGCGCGAACCUCAAGGGCUGGGACCCGACGGGCAGCCCAGCAAGCAGGCUCGGAAGCGGGGCCGGGGCAGCUGGAGCUGGCGUGACGCCGCCGCCGCCGCCACCGCAGGGAAGACGAGGGUGACGGCUCCAGGACUGGGCACUGGCCCGCCCGGCGGACGCGCCGGCCCCUCUAGGGCGGGGACGCGGGCCUCGGUUUUGAGAGGCGCCUCCAGGGCCGGUGCGGGGCACGCGGUGUGGCCGGUCUGUCCCCCGGGCAGGGAUGCUCGGAUGCUCCAGGGCUUUUCCCUGUGGUACCUGGACCCCGGUGGCCAGGCGGGCAGUUCCCGGGUGUACGGCAGCCGGCCCCACCGCGAGGGACGCCACCUGCCCGUCAGACGCCCCCGAGGCGCUUCUGAAACAGACCAAGGCCUGGGGCCCCCACCAAUGAAGAGAUUUCAAAUGCCCCCCGAGGCUGUGAGGGAGGCACCUGCCCCUCGGGCUGCCCACCUUACAGAGGCCCCUGCCCUUGGGGUGGAGCCCCAAAACCUCAUCACGCUGACUCGGCCGCCCCCACCCCACCCAGGCACCCCCCUGGCCCCGGCCCCCCUUUCUCCCUCCCCCUGCUGACAGUCGCCGGCCAAGGUUCUGAGCUGUGCAUCUGCCUCCACCAUCUGGCUCCUCGCUCUCGCUGGCCGCUGGUCUGGCGCCGUCACCCCAGUUUAGGGACGAGGAGGCGGAGACUGGGGGGGCACAGUGCACCGUCCAAGGGCAGAGCCGCAAGCACGGGGAGGGGGCAGGACCCCGCCUGCUGGCCGCUCCGACUGCCCCUGCGCUGGUGUGGCCUGGCCCCAGGCCCAGAGCCCCGCACCCCCCGCCGGCGGCCACACCUGCGUCUCUCUCCCAUCUCGGGCAGGAAGCUGGACGAGACCCGUGAGCCCCCGGGACCCGCUGCACGGAGGAGGGCGAGGAGGCACCCACCAGGCUGCGCCCGCCCGCGCCCUUCACUUCCGGCCCAGUCGGGGCGGCAGGCUCAGCUCCAAGGAAUAAACUCCGAAACCAUCACCUCGGUGAGCACUUGGCCAGAUAUUAGCAGAGAAUGACAGCAAAGAAGAACACGGGAAGGAAAAAGAAAAAAGUAUUCUCUUCUCCAAGGUCACUCUGAGCGGUGAGUUUGAGGCUCCCCCUUCCUUCUGGGAGGGAAAAAGCUUGAAUGAAGUACAGCAUGUUCUGAAAUCCAAGCCACGGUCCCUGGGCUCUUCACCAGUUUCUGCGUGUCAAAGCGCCAACCCCAAGAGACCUCGGAGACCUUCUUUCUGUGACUCCUGACUGGCAAAGCCAAAGUGACUUUGUUUUGCAAAAUUCCGCAUGGCUCUUCUGUCCUGCAUCUUUCAAACUCAACGUGGCUUUGUCUCUAGAGUUACAUGAUGGAUUUGAGCAGGAAGUCUAUAUUAGAAGAAGCUUAUUCUAGAAUCACAAGGUUGAAUGGGGCAUGUGAGUCUAUUUGAUCCUAACUCCUUAUUCUUUGUACCCUGUCAAAAAAAUGACAGGAUUUCUGGGUUCCAGGGUUCAAAGGAAUCUGGGUAAAUUACUAAAAUAAUAGUAAUAAAAGUAAAGGGAGCAAGGAAAGAGAGUGAUAUUCAGCUUGUUAACCAAGAAGGGAGGAGGUGUAGCUCAGUGGGUGGAGAGCCUGCCUCGCACGUAGGAGGUCCCGGGUUCAAUCCCCCCUUCCUCCUAAUAUAAUAAUAACCAUAGAACCAGGAAAUCUCCCCACCUGCAAGUUUCCAUUUGGGGGCAGACACAGCACAGAGGAUUCUGAACAUUUAUGGUCCGAAGGUGCUCUCUCUGUUCUGUAUUGACUAGCUGGGGGCCUCUGGGCAAGUAGCUGCCUCUGAGACUGUUCACCUAGAAAAACGAUAACUUUCAAAAAUAAUGAUACAAGUCUCUGACCUCCCAGAAACAAAACAAAAACCAUCUCCCUACCACAACGAUAAGCAUUUUAAAAACUAUCCUUAUUAACCUUUUUUUAAGCAAACGAUGACUUUUAAGAUGCACUUGCGUUAACCUCCGUAAUUUUUCUUUUUAAUGACAUAGUUACUUAAAAGUCGGCGACAACUAAAUAACUAAAGUGUUCGUAUUAUAUUGUCGACCAGGUCGAUACGCUCACGAGAAGACUUCGUUUUAAGAGAAGAGACCGAAGCUAGGAGUCAGAAGACUCAGGCUUCCAAAGCGGCUGUCCCCUGGUGACAAGCAGGGGCUGGCUAAGCUGACCUCCGAGGUUGCCAGAAAGUAAGAUCGGCUUUGCAGCUCGGCUGCAGCCAGCCCUGGAACUGCACCGCCUCGGCUUCUCAGGGACGUCCGGAGACGAGGGAAGGGGUCCAAAGGUCGUGCAGACUGCAAAGCCCCUUGCUAAGCCCGAGGCGGCGGCAUGGUGCAAGGUUUGCGCAACCGUCGCCCUAGGAUGAGGGACUGGGGACAGGAGUCCCGCGCCCUUCGCUCCUCCCCUGCCAGAACGUGCAACUCAGCACGCUGGGGGAGCUGCGCGGGUCGCCCGGGCCCAGCAGAGACCCCCCCCCCAAGCUACGAGCACCCCCAGAACAACCUGGGUUGCAGGAUUAGCACGACCUCCCCCGCGCAUGCGCACCGCGACUAACACGCGGCCCAGGGGCGCCCACUGCGCCUGCGCCCUCCGGCUUGGGCCCCCUUCGGGGCGCAGGGCCAGGGAAGGGAGUCCCGCGCCCCCGCGAAGAAGAAAAAGAGCAGGGGUAUCCGGGGAUGGCGCCCAGCACCCCGGUCCUCGUUCCUUACCUCAUAGUGCUUCAUGGCUCCCUCGCCCGGGGGCUGAUGCGCCUGCUACCCUCCUGCGCGCGACACAGACAAGGCCGCCUCCCGCGCUCGCGACCACCGCGCGAGACUAACCGCGGCUCGGCGCCGGCCCCG